RNAcentral lists this ribosomal RNA (570 nucleotides) under Shewanella sp. RNAcentral's name for it is "bacterial SSU rRNA". It matches the Rfam family "Bacterial small subunit ribosomal RNA", at positions 361 to 923 of the family's 1533-position model. Lineage: Bacteria; Pseudomonadati; Pseudomonadota; Gammaproteobacteria; Alteromonadales; Shewanellaceae. The record is from RNAcentral.
AUAUUGCACAAUGGGGGAAACCCUGAUGCAGCCAUGCCGCGUGUGUGAAGAAGGCCUUCGGGUUGUAAAGCACUUUCAGUAGGGAGGAAAGGUAGCAGCUUAAUACGCUGUUGCUGUGACGUUACCUACAGAAGAAGGACCGGCUAACUCCGUGCCAGCAGCCGCGGUAAUACGGAGGGUCCGAGCGUUAAUCGGAAUUACUGGGCGUAAAGCGUGCGCAGGCGGUUUGUUAAGCGAGAUGUGAAAGCCCCGGGCUCAACCUGGGAAUUGCAUUUCGAACUGGCGAACUAGAGUCUUGUAGAGGGGGGUAGAAUUCCAGGUGUAGCGGUGAAAUGCGUAGAGAUCUGGAGGAAUACCGGUGGCGAAGGCGGCCCCCUGGACAAAGACUGACGCUCAGGCACGAAAGCGUGGGGAGCAAACAGGAUUAGAUACCCUGGUAGUCCACGCCGUAAACGAUGUCUACUCGGAGUUUGGUGUCUUGAACACUGGGCUCUCAAGCUAACGCAUUAAGUAGACCGCCUGGGGAGUACGGCCGCAAGGUUAAAACUCAAAUGAAUUGACGGGGCCGGG